GAUGAACGCUGGCGGCGUGCCUAAUACAUGCAAGUCGAGCGAACGGACGAGAAGUUUGCUUCUCUGAUGUUAGCGGCGGACGGGUGUGUAACACGUGGAUAACCUACCUAUAAGACUGGGAUAACUUCGGGAAACUGUAGCUAAUACCGGAUAAUAUUUUGAACCGCAUGGUUCAAAAGUGAAAGACGGUCUUGCUGUCACUUAUAGAUGGAUCCGCGCGGCAUUAGCUAGUUGGUAAGGUAACGGCUUACCAAGGCAACGAUGCAUAGCCGACCUGAGAGGGGGAUCGGCCACACUGGAACUGAGACACGGUCCAGACUCCUACGGGAGGCAGCAGUAGGGAAUCUUCCGCAAUGGGCGAAAGCCUGACGGAGCAACGCCGCGUGAGUGAUGAAGGUCUUCGGAUCGUAAAACUCUGUUAUUAGGGAAGAACAUAUGUGUAAGUAACUGUGCACAUCUUGACGGUACCUAAUCAGAAAGCCACGGCUAACUACGUG
This 497-nucleotide ribosomal RNA is filed under the name uncultured bacterium. RNAcentral describes it as "partial 16S ribosomal RNA". It matches the Rfam family "Bacterial small subunit ribosomal RNA", at positions 28 to 507 of the family's 1533-position model. The record is from RNAcentral.